Molecule: ribosomal RNA, 279 nt
Filed under: uncultured bacterium
Lineage: Bacteria
Description: partial 16S ribosomal RNA
Rfam family: Bacterial small subunit ribosomal RNA
Source: RNAcentral
UGCCAGCAGCCGCGGUAACACGAACUUCGCGAACGUUAUUCGGAAUGACUGGGCGUAAAGGGUACGUAGGCGGUUUGGUCAGUUAGAUGUGAAAGCCCAGGGCUCAACCUUGGAACUGCAUUUAAUACUGCCAAACUUGAGAUCGGAAGAGGAAAGCGGAAUUUCUAAUGUAGAGGUGAAAUUUGUAGAUAUUAGAAGGAACAUCAGAGGCGAAGGCGGCUUUCUGGUCCGAUACUGACGCUGAGGUACGAAAGCGUGGGGAGCAAACAGGAUUAGAUA